Molecule: transfer RNA, 76 nt
Filed under: Lysinibacillus fusiformis
Lineage: Bacteria; Bacillati; Bacillota; Bacilli; Caryophanales; Bacillaceae
Also listed under: 14 other names
Description: tRNA-His
Rfam family: tRNA
About the family: Transfer RNA (tRNA) molecules are approximately 80 nucleotides in length. Their secondary structure includes four short double-helical elements and three loops (D, anti-codon, and T loops).
Source: RNAcentral
GCGAUUGUGGCGAAGUGGUUAACGCACCGGAUUGUGGUUCCGGCACUCGUGGGUUCGAUUCCCAUCAGUCGCCCCA